UGGGGAAUCUUAGACAAUGGGGGCAACCCUGAUCUAGCCAUGCCGCGUGAGUGAUGAAGGCCUUAGGGUUGUAAAGCUCUUUCAGCUGGGAAGAUAAUGACGGUACCAGCAGAAGAAGCCCCGGCUAACUCCGUGCCAGCAGCCGCGGUAAUACGGAGGGGGCUAGCGUUGUUCGGAAUUACUGGGCGUAAAGCGCACGUAGGCGGACUGGAAAGUUGGGGGUGAAAUCCCGGGGCUCAACCUCGGAACUGCCUUCAAAACUAUCAGUCUGGAGUUCGAGAGAGGUGAGUGGAAUUCCGAGUGUAGAGGUGAAAUUCGUAGAUAUUCGGAGGAACACCAGUGGCGAAGGCGGCUCACUGGCUCGAUACUGACGCUGAGGUGCGAAAGCGUGGGGAGCAAACA
RNAcentral lists this ribosomal RNA (402 nucleotides) under uncultured bacterium. RNAcentral's name for it is "bacterial SSU rRNA". It matches the Rfam family "Bacterial small subunit ribosomal RNA", at positions 355 to 774 of the family's 1533-position model. The record is from RNAcentral.